Molecule: ribosomal RNA, 193 nt
Filed under: uncultured rumen bacterium
Lineage: Bacteria
Description: partial 16S ribosomal RNA
Rfam family: Bacterial small subunit ribosomal RNA
Source: RNAcentral
UACGGGAGGCAGCAGUGGGGAAUAUUGGGCAAUGGGCGCAACCCUGACCGAGCAACGCCGCGUGAGUGAAGAAGGUUUUCGGAUCGUAAAGCUCUGUUGUAAGAGAAGAACGUGUGUGAGAGUGGAAAGUUCACACAGUGACGGUAACUUACCAGAAAGGGACGGCUAACUACGUGCCAGCAGCCGCGGUAAU